RNAcentral lists this ribosomal RNA (374 nucleotides) under uncultured bacterium. RNAcentral describes it as "bacterial SSU rRNA". It matches the Rfam family "Bacterial small subunit ribosomal RNA", at positions 525 to 896 of the family's 1533-position model. The record is from RNAcentral.
ACGUAGGAGACGAGCGUUGUCCGGAGUUACUGGGCGUAAAGGGUGCGCAGGCGGCCCGCCGCGUGUGGGGUGAAAUCUCCCGGCUCAACUGGGAGGGGGCCCGUGCAAACGGGCGGGCUUGAGGGUCGCAGAGGGGCGUGGAAUUCCGGGUGGAGCGGUGAAAUGCGUAGAGAUCCGGAGGAACACCGACGGCGAAGGCAGCGCCCUGGACGACACCUGACGCUCAGGCACGAAAGCUGGGGGAGCAAACAGGAUUAGAUACCCUGGUAGUCCCAGCGGUAAACGAUGUCCACCAGGCGCCGGGGGUAUCGACCCCUCCGGUGCCGAAGCUAACGUGAUGAGUGGACCGCCUGGGGAGUACGGCCGCAAGGUUA